This 253-nucleotide ribosomal RNA is filed under the name uncultured bacterium. RNAcentral describes it as "partial 16S ribosomal RNA". It matches the Rfam family "Bacterial small subunit ribosomal RNA", at positions 524 to 776 of the family's 1533-position model. The record is from RNAcentral.
UACGUAGGUGGCAAGCGUUGUCCGGAAUUAUUGGGCGUAAAGCGCGCGCAGGUGGUUCCUUAAGUCUGAUGUGAAAGCCCCCGGCUCAACCGGGGAGGGUCAUUGGAAACUGGUAAACUUGAGUGUAGUAGAGGCAAGUGGAAUUUCUAGUGUAGCGGUUAAAUGCGUAGAUAUUAGAAGGAACACCAGUGGCGAAGGCGACUUGCUGGGCUAUAACUGACGCUGAGACGCGAAAGCGUGGGGAGCAAACAGG